GCAAAUGUGUCGGAAUUGGUAUACGAGCUAUACUUAGGAUAUAGUGCCUUUAAUGGCUUAAGAGUUCGAGUCUCUUCAUUUGUA
Molecule: transfer RNA, 84 nt
Filed under: Hannaella oryzae
Lineage: Eukaryota; Fungi; Basidiomycota; Tremellomycetes; Tremellales; Bulleribasidiaceae
Description: tRNA-Leu
Rfam family: tRNA
About the family: Transfer RNA (tRNA) molecules are approximately 80 nucleotides in length.
Source: RNAcentral